AUGGGAGCUUGCUCCCAUUUCUCAGCGGCGGACGGGUGAGUAACACGUGGGCAACCUGCCCUACAGACUGGGAUAACUCCGGGAAACCGGAGCUAAUACCGGGUAAUACAUAGCAUCGCAUGAUGCAACGUUGAAAGUUGGCCUUUGGCUAACACUGUAGGAUGGGCCCGCGGCGCAUUAGCUAGUUGGUAAGGUAACGGCUUACCAAGGCCACGAUGCGUAGCCGACCUGAGAGGGUGAUCGGCCACACUGGGACUGAGACACGGCCCAGACUCCUACGGGAGGCAGCAGUAGGGAAUCUUCCGCAAUGGACGAAAGUCUGACGGAGCAACGCCGCGUGAGUGACGAAGGCCUUCGGGUCGUAAAGCUCUGUUGUUAGGGAAGAACAAGUACCGUUCGAAUAGGGCGGUACCUUGACGGUACCUAACCAGAAAGCCACGGCUAACUACGUGCCAGCAGCCGCGGUAAUACGUAGGUGGCAAGCGUUGUCCGGAAUUAUUGGGCGUAAAGCGCGCGCAGGCGGUCUCUUAAGUCUGAUGUGAAAGCCCACGGCUCAACCGUGGAGGGCCAUUGGAAACUGGGGGACUUGAGUGCAGAAGAGGAGAGUGGAAUUCCACGUGUAGCGGUGAAAUGCGUAGAUAUGUGGAGGAACACCAGUGGCGAAGGCGGCUCUCUGGUCUGUAACUGACGCUGAGGCGCGAAAGCGUGGGGAGCGAACAGGAUUAGAUACCCUGGUAGUCCACGCCGUAAACGAUGAGUGCUAGGUGUUGGGGGCUUCCACCCUCAGUGCUGAAGUUAACACAUUAAGCACUCCGCCUGGGGAGUACGACCGCAAGGUUGAAACUCAAAGGAAUUGACGGGGGCCCGCACAAGCAGUGGAGCAUGUGGUUUAAUUCGAAGCAACGCGAAGAACCUUACCAGGUCUUGACAUCCUCUGCCACUCCUAGAGAUAGGACG
This 957-nucleotide ribosomal RNA is filed under the name Bacillus sp. (in: firmicutes). Its description in RNAcentral is "bacterial SSU rRNA". It matches the Rfam family "Bacterial small subunit ribosomal RNA", at positions 72 to 1013 of the family's 1533-position model. The record is from RNAcentral. Lineage: Bacteria; Bacillati; Bacillota; Bacilli; Caryophanales; Bacillaceae.